AUUGUUGUGUACUCGUAAAUUU
This 22-nucleotide small nuclear RNA is filed under the name Arabidopsis thaliana (thale cress). Its description in RNAcentral is "snRNA_08874". The record is from RNAcentral. Lineage: Eukaryota; Viridiplantae; Streptophyta; Magnoliopsida; Brassicales; Brassicaceae.